AGUGAACGCUGGCGGUAGGCCUAACACAUGCAAGUCGAACGGCAGCACAGUAAGAGCUUGCUCUUACGGGUGGCGAGUGGCGGACGGGUGAGGAAUACAUCGGAAUCUACUUUUUCGUGGGGGCUAACGUAGGGAAACUUACGCUAAUACCGCAUACGACCUACGGGUGAAAGCAGGGGAUCUUCGGACCUUGCGCGAUUGAAUGAGCCGAUGUCGGAUUAGCUAGUUGGCGGGGUAAAGGCCCACCAAGGCGACGAUCCGUAGCUGGUCUGAGAGGAUGAUCAGACACACUGGAACUGAGACACGGUCCAGACUCCUACGGGAGGCAGCAGUGGGGAAUAUUGGACAAUGGGCGCAAGCCUGAUCCAGCCAUACCGCGUGGGUGAAGAAGGCCUUCGGGUUGUAAAGCCCUGUUGUUGGGAAAGAAAAGCAGCAGGUUAAUACCCCGCUGUUCUGACGGUACCCAAAGAAUAAGCACCGGCUAACUUCGUG
Molecule: ribosomal RNA, 492 nt
Filed under: uncultured bacterium
Lineage: Bacteria
Description: partial 16S ribosomal RNA
Rfam family: Bacterial small subunit ribosomal RNA
Source: RNAcentral